UACAGAGGAGCCAAGCGUUGUCCGGAUUGACUGGGCGUAAAGCGCACGCAGGCGGACGCGCGCGUGGGGUGUGAAAUCUGGCCGCUUAACGGCCAGGGGCCAUCCCAUACGGCGCGUCUGGAGCGCUGCAGAGGUCGGUGGAAUUGCCGGUGUAGUGGUGAAAUUCGUAGAUAUCGAGAGGAACACCGGUGGCGAAGGCGGCCAACUGGACGAAUACUGACGCUGAGACUCGAAAGCGUGGGGAGCAAACAGG
Molecule: ribosomal RNA, 253 nt
Filed under: uncultured bacterium
Lineage: Bacteria
Description: partial 16S ribosomal RNA
Rfam family: Bacterial small subunit ribosomal RNA
Source: RNAcentral